Molecule: ribosomal RNA, 254 nt
Filed under: uncultured bacterium
Lineage: Bacteria
Description: partial 16S ribosomal RNA
Rfam family: Bacterial small subunit ribosomal RNA
Source: RNAcentral
CACGUAGGGGGCGAGCGUUGUCCGGAUUUAUUGGGCGUAAAGAGCUCGUAGGCGGCUCAGUAAGUCGGGUGUGAAACCCCCGGGCUCAACCCGGGGACGCCACCCGAUACUGCUGUGGCUAGAGUCCGGUAGGGGAGCGUGGAAUUCCUGGUGUAGCGGUGAAAUGCGCAGAUAUCAGGAGGAACACCAGCGGCGAAGGCGGCGCUCUGGGCCGGUACUGACGCUGAGGAGCGAAAGCCAGGGGAGCAAACGGG